AGCGAACGUUAGCGGCGCGCCUAACACAUGCAAGUCGCACGAGAAACGGAGCAAUCCGCGGUACAGUGGCGCACGGGUGAGUAACACGUGGAUGACCUUCCCUGGAGUGGUGGAUAACCUGCCGAAAGGCGGGCUAAUACAGCAUGGGACCACGACGCUUUGGCGAUGUGGUGAAAGCGGGCCUCUAUAUAUAAGCUCGCGCUCCGGGACGGGUCCGCGUCCCAUCAGCUAGUUGGUGAGGUAACGGCUCACCAAGGCUUCGACGGGUAGCUGGUCUGAGAGGAUGGCCAGCCACACUGGAACUGGAACACGGGCCAGACUCCUACGGGAGGCAGCAGUGAGGAAUAUUGGGCAAUGGGCGAAAGCCUGACCCAGCCACGCCGCGUGAGUGAUGAAGGCCCUCGGGUCGUAAAGCUCUGUGGAGAGGGACGGAAAAACCUAGGGGUCGUAAUAGGCCCCGGACUUGACGGUACCUCUUUAGUCAAGCACCGGCUAACUACUGUGCCA
Molecule: ribosomal RNA, 507 nt
Filed under: uncultured bacterium
Lineage: Bacteria
Description: bacterial SSU rRNA
Rfam family: Bacterial small subunit ribosomal RNA
Source: RNAcentral